CAGGUCUCUCUCAUUGCAGGUGGCUUCUUCCAUUUGAGCCACCAGGGAAACCUUGCAUCCCCUAUAUUCAGUGAGACUGAGUCUGAUCUCUUAAUGCAAAGUUACAGAAAAGUCUUGUGUUGUCUUUUUAACCAAAAGACCUCUUAAUAUAUUGGAAUGGCAUUACACUGUAAGCAAUAUCUCUAUUUUGGUUUGCAGAAUGGAAUUUUUGUUUCAUGUCUUAGAUUUCUUUAGUNUUUUUUCAACAUCUGACAUUUCUCUUCUAUUUUUUAGCUCAUGAACAUGCAAUGUAUGUACAAUUGUAAAAGGUAAUAAAACUGAAUAUAUCAAAACGAUCAGUUUUAUUUUUCUUGUUUUGCAUUAUGUAUUUGGCCUAAAGUGUUAGAAUUACAACAGGAAGACAAGAUGAGUUGUGAAUACAUAUUUAAAAAAUACCAUUUUGUAUUAUGUAUCAUGAAAUAAUCGCUUUCUCUUGACAUAUCACCUAAAAUUGUCUGAGUUAUCUUAUUUGGAACCAACUCUAUGUAAUCAUUCUCCCUUGUGUUUAGCUAGUUUGAAUUAAAAUGAACUCAAUUAUAUUAUGAGUUGUNNNNNNNNNNNNNNNNNNNNNNNNNNNNNNNNNNNNNNNNNNNAGUGUUAUCUGUCAGUUUCCUUUCAUUAUUCAUUGUCAUUCAAGAAAAAUUGAACUGUGUCUGAUGGAAAUCAUGCUGGUUUGGGUGGAAACUGGCCACUUAAAUCUAAUUGGCUCCAUCCGUGCUUGGUCUAAGACUGGGCCACAGAAUAGAGGUACAGCUGGAGACUUCCUGGGAGCCUGGGGCCUCACCAAGGGAGCUUCUUAUAAGGAAAGAGGCGGAGAGGGAGCUCCAGAGUCCAGCCAUGGACUAAAACCUCAAGCCUUCAGUGGUGUCAUCACAAUGAGAAUAUCCUGUGUCAGGAGUGGACCUGAAUCUACACCACGACCAUAGCUGGGGCCUGAGUUGGACAUCAGUGUGUGACUUUAAU
Molecule: long non-coding RNA, 1002 nt
Filed under: Capra hircus (goat)
Lineage: Eukaryota; Metazoa; Chordata; Mammalia; Artiodactyla; Bovidae
Description: lncRNA (ENSCHIG00010004325.1)
Source: RNAcentral